RNAcentral lists this ribosomal RNA (497 nucleotides) under uncultured bacterium. RNAcentral describes it as "partial 16S ribosomal RNA". It matches the Rfam family "Bacterial small subunit ribosomal RNA", at positions 28 to 507 of the family's 1533-position model. The record is from RNAcentral.
GAUGAACGCUGGCGGCGUGCCUAAUACAUGCAAGUCGAGCGAACAGACGAGGAGCUUGCUCCUCUGACGUUAGCGGCGGACGGGUGAGUAACACGUGGAUAACCUACCUAUAAUACUGGGAUAACUUCGGGAAACCGGAGCUAAUACCGGAUAAUAUAUUGAACCGCAUGGUUCAUUAGUGAAAGACGGUUUUGCUGUCACUUAUAGAUGGAUCUGCGCCGCAUUAGCUAGUUGGUAAGGUAACGGCUUACCAAGGCAACGAUGCGUAGCCGACCUGAGAGGGUGAUCGGCCACACUGGAGCUGAGACACGGUCCAGACUCCUACGGGAGGCAGCAGUAGGGAAUCUUCCGCAAUGGGCGAAAGCCUGACGGAGCAACGCCGCGUGAGUGAUGAAGGUCUUCGGAUCGUAAAACUCUGUUAUUAGGGAAGAACAAAUGUGUAAGUAACUAUGCACGUCUUGACGGUACCUAAUCAGAAAGCCACGGCUAACUACGUG